RNAcentral lists this ribosomal RNA (609 nucleotides) under Bacillus sp. (in: firmicutes). RNAcentral's name for it is "bacterial SSU rRNA". It matches the Rfam family "Bacterial small subunit ribosomal RNA", at positions 69 to 659 of the family's 1533-position model. The record is from RNAcentral. Lineage: Bacteria; Bacillati; Bacillota; Bacilli; Caryophanales; Bacillaceae.
AUGGAUUAAGAGCUUGCUCUUAUGAAGUUAGCGGCGGACGGGUGAGUAACACGUGGGUAACCUACCCAUAAGACUGGGAUAACUCCGGGAAACCGGGGCUAAUACCGGAUAAUAUUUUGAACUGCAUAGUUCGAAAUUGAAAGGCGGCUUCGGCUGUCACUUAUGGAUGGACCCGCGUCGCAUUAGCUAGUUGGUGAGGUAACGGCUCACCAAGGCGACGAUGCGUAGCCGACCUGAGAGGGUGAUCGGCCACACUGGGACUGAGACACGGCCCAGACUCCUACGGGAGGCAGCAGUAGGGAAUCUUCCGCAAUGGACGAAAGUCUGACGGAGCAACGCCGCGUGAGUGAUGAAGGCUUUCGGGUCGUAAAACUCUGUUGUUAGGGAAGAACAAGUGCUAGUUGAAUAAGCUGGCACCUUGACGGUACCUAACCAGAAAGCCACGGCUAACUACGUGCCAGCAGCCGCGGUAAUACGUAGGUGGCAAGCGUUAUCCGGAAUUAUUGGGCGUAAAGCGCGCGCAGGUGGUUUCUUAAGUCUGAUGUGAAAGCCCACGGCUCAACCGUGGAGGGUCAUUGGAAACUGGGAGACUUGAGUGCAGAAGAGGAA